RNAcentral lists this ribosomal RNA (492 nucleotides) under Vibrio sp. RNAcentral's name for it is "bacterial SSU rRNA". It matches the Rfam family "Bacterial small subunit ribosomal RNA", at positions 853 to 1344 of the family's 1533-position model. Lineage: Bacteria; Pseudomonadati; Pseudomonadota; Gammaproteobacteria; Vibrionales; Vibrionaceae. The record is from RNAcentral.
UAACGCGUUAAGUAGACCGCCUGGGGAGUACGGUCGCAAGAUUAAAACUCAAAUGAAUUGACGGGGGCCCGCACAAGCGGUGGAGCAUGUGGUUUAAUUCGAUGCAACGCGAAGAACCUUACCUACUCUUGACAUCCAGAGAAGCCAGCGGAGACGCAGGUGUGCCUUCGGGAACUCUGAGACAGGUGCUGCAUGGCUGUCGUCAGCUCGUGUUGUGAAAUGUUGGGUUAAGUCCCGCAACGAGCGCAACCCUUAUCCUUGUUUGCCAGCGAGUAAUGUCGGGAACUCCAGGGAGACUGCCGGUGAUAAACCGGAGGAAGGUGGGGACGACGUCAAGUCAUCAUGGCCCUUACGAGUAGGGCUACACACGUGCUACAAUGGCGCAUACAGAGGGCAGCAAGCUAGCGAUAGUGAGCGAAUCCCAAAAAGUGCGUCGUAGUCCGGAUUGGAGUCUGCAACUCGACUCCAUGAAGUCGGAAUCGCUAGUAAUCG